Molecule: non-coding RNA, 3484 nt
Organism: Camellia sinensis
Lineage: Eukaryota; Viridiplantae; Streptophyta; Magnoliopsida; Ericales; Theaceae
Source: RefSeq, a predicted model, not a curated record
CGAAUUAUUUUGGGCGCCCGAUCUAUUUACACUCGGUUCUGUCUCUCACACACACAAACACAGGAUAUACACUUCUGUGUCAAACACUAGCAAACCUCACCCUCACCAUCCCUGCUAACAGUUACCAUCGAACUUCCACCACCAACCAUCGCGGCUCUCGCCACCGUCGCUCACCAUCGCGGCCCCCCUCCCAGCCACAUUCAGGUUGCUGAAUGUACUGAGCAAUGGGGAAAGUGUUGAUCUUGUCUUUGAGUGUCUAGACCUGGACCUGAAGAAGUUCAUUAAUUCUUAUCCAGAGAUUGCAAAGGAUCCACAUAUGAUAAAAAGAUUUAUGCAUUAGAUUCUUCGCGGAGUCGCCUAUUGCCAUGCUCAUGAAAUUCUACAUCGAGAUUUGAAACCUCGGAAUCUUCUGAUAAAUCGCAAUAACAAAAUGGUGAAGCUUGCUGACUUUGGGUUGGCCAGGACAUUUGAUGUUCCUCUCAGGACCUAUACUGGCAAUGUAUGUCACUCUUCAAUGCUAUUUGUACUAAAUUUUGUUUUAUAUCUGACAAUUUUGUUGAAUAGAAGUUGAUAGUAACUACAAAUACAAAAUGUUGUUUAUGUAGCAAAAGAAAUAGUUGUGAGCUUUCUUCUAGGAUUUUCAAACCUAAUAAUUUCAAUAUUGCACCUGAUGUUACAUUUGGAAGUGCAUUUGUCAUGCAUAACCAAAUCAAAUGAAACUAAGUCUUGUGUCCCAAUCAAGUGCAUUUGUAAUGCAUGAUAUACAAAAAUAACUCUUUUCAAAAUUUGCAUAUGUAAGUGUUCUUUCUGAUUGUUGGCUGGAUAAUUAAAGCAAGUUUACACUUUGAUAUAUUGGGGCAUCAGUGAAAGAAAAUGUCUUCACGGGAUUAGGCUGAGAUCUUUGUGAAAUUAAGUAGGGAAGUUACUUUUCACUCAAGAUCAUCUUCAACAAAAAUGUUACUCUUUUUUUUUUACUCUUUUUCCAGAAUGCCAACAGGAAAUUGAGAGGUACGUAAAAAAAAAAAAAAUUCGUUUGUCUUCCCAUUAAAAAACUGGAGCUUCUCUCUCUCUUUCAAUUUAAAUUGUCAGUGCAGAAAAGGGUAUACUCUCUCUCUCUCUCUCUGAGGGGAAAAAUUUGAGGGGAAAAAUAUUUAUUUAAAUCAUAAAAAUCUUUUUUUUUUUAUCAGUAAAAAGAAGAGAGACUUUAUUGAUAUAAAACCAAUGUACAAAAGGAAAUUACAUCAAUAAAGGCAAAGAAAGGGUAGGUGCAAAGUGUAUCAUAGCAAUACAAUUGAUCCCAAUUAGGUCCACAUGCAAGCACACCACUGAGGGUUGGUGAGGGGCCAACCAAAGCAGCCAAACAGACCCCAAAAAUAUCCCAAAAAAAAAGAAAAAACAGAGCAAAAGAAAGGAACAUGAGCAGCAACAAACCAGAUUUUCAAGAUCAAAUUAUCAUAAAAAUUUUAGCAGUUGAGUUUGGUUUCAACUAUCCCAAUCUCUUUUCCAAGACACCUAAAGUUAGUCAAAUUCAGUUACUUUCAUACUGUAAAUUUGUCUGUCAAUAUAGAUGUAUAUAAUUUUGUUUAUUACAUGACUGUCUGUAAGCAUGUAUUGUUAUCCUCUUCUUUUUUUCUUAUUCUUUCUCCUUUUUGUGGGGGACUUAUGAAUUGCAAUACUUUUCUGUCUUUUCUUGACAUUUUUUUAGUGACUAUUACUAUGAUCAUGUGCGUCCCGUUAGAAAAACACAUUAGUAGGAGAUAUUGUCAUAGUACUUUUGAGAAUUUUUAUUGUAACUUUGAGUUUUUUUUUUACAAUAUUGUCAUAUUGUCAUAUAGUCUUUGAGUUGCAAACUCUGAGUUUUUUUUUUUUUUUUUUUAAAUUUAUAAAUAUUUUCAAAAAUCAAACUAUUUAUCGAAGUAACUAAUUUUUCAAACUAUUUAUCAAAUUAUCCUAUUUUUUUAAAAGCGCAUGCUCAAAAUGCGAUUUCAUAUUGACUUGACUUACUGAUAUUUAGAUGUGGGUCAUGUUAAUAUGAAAUUGUAUGUUUAAGAUGCGAUUUCACCACAAAUUGUAUUUUAAACCUGUGGUUUUAAAAAAUUAGUUUAAUAAAUAGUUUGAAAAGUUAAUUAUUUACCUAAGUAGUUUAAUUUUUUUGAAUAUUCACAAAACAAAAAAAAAACUCUGCAAACUCUUGGUCCAUUUUUCAAACAAAAAAUAAAUCAUGUGUGUCCCAUGUAGUGUAAGUCUCAUCCCACAUGAAUAUUGGAUUGAAUAUUUGAUAAAUUCAUUUACAGUCCCAAACAUUACUGUUAAGGGGAAUUUGGUCAAAAUCCUCUCAUAAUAAGCUUUAAUGCAUUAAAGAUAAGUACAAAAAAAAUUUCUUGAAAAGUUCAACAUAUACUACUAUUACCAAAACAUUAAACUUUAAAAUAAUAUAACUUUUGAUCUAUAUGUCGAUUUUUAAUAAAAUUAGUAUUUUUAAAAUUCUCUCAUUAAGAUCUAUCAAAUAAGAUUCAUGUUGAUUGUGAGAUUCCUGAGUAGAUUGCUCAACAGAGGCUGCUUCUGUUGGCUGGAAAGGUGUUGUUGAUUAGUCUGGCAUGUCAGCUUCACAAGGAAAUAGUCUUCGAUGGCAAUGGUAUAAGGAUCCAAGAUUGGAUUGUCUUGGAUUCCGGGGGAUUUUUCCAUCCAAUACAAUACCACCUUUGGUUGAGGCUGACAAGGAAACUGAUGAAAAAAAUUAUCUUCUAUGGAGAUUAGAGAAAGGGGUUGCAGAAGGCUCAACGGAGAUCCCAAAAGAUUUCAAAUGGGAGAUUGGUCAGGACUUGGUGCGCACAUCAAAAAUCAGUGACUUGCUUGACAUUUUCUAGCGAUGAUUCAUUUCUUAUUUCUGGUUCAGAAGAUGGCAUGAUCAUUAUUUGGCCUAUGAUCGGGUAAAAAAAGUGAAUCUUCGUUUCUUCAACAAUUUAAUGUUUGUAUUUGAAUGUCGUUUAGUUUUAUUUUUCAGGAAAAAUAAAUAACUGACUUUGUAAUCACAUUGUUUGGUGGAAGUUUGGUCGACGAGACAAAUUGUUGGACUGUGGCUUUAAAACUAAAUUUUUCGUUGGAGCUUUCAUCCUCUAUAACGGGCCUAUUAACUGCAUCAAGUGGCUCAAGUUCAAUUUUUUUAUCAAACUCCCUCGAUGGCACAUGCAAGGUAUGGGGACCUUGUUACUGGAAGACUUUUUACAAACUCGAGCUUUUCUACUACCAAUUACUGCAAUAGUUGUUGAUCCAACAGAGAUGAAAUUAUUUUCUGGUGGUAUAGAUUACUAGUAGAUAUUUCUUUUUUGUAUACGGAGAUCAUUUUUGUAUGAUUAUCUGUUUGUAUAGAAUUAUUAUUUUGGGUUGGAUUAUAUUUGAUUUGUAUAGAAUUUGAUGUCACAAGACCAAAUUUUUGGAUGGUUGAAAGUGAAAUAGAAAUAGACAUAUGUAUUGUUUUGUUUAU